UUCCGUUUCCUCGAGCCUCUCCUCUCCAUUCCAGCUCGUCCAUCUUGGUUGUCCGUCUCGUUGGGUUCUACGUGCGUUCGUGUUGAGGUUUUCUUGACCCCCACACGGCUCCUGGGAAAUACGCCAGGCAACAUAAUUACAUGAGCCGUUUAAUGCUCUCUCUCCUUAUCCAUUGUGGCACCCGAAGAAGCUGAGCUACACGUGGUGUACUGUUCAUGGCACUGUUGUACAAGUGAUCUUCAAUUGGGUGUGUCUAUUCCAGCACGUCCACAUCCUUUCAACACCUUAUGCGAUGUGUGUUUCAGGUGGGCUGCAACAUUUGUCAGCAUGCAUUCCUCCUUGCUAGGAUUACUAUGUCAGGUUGGCUGGGCUUUAUAAGGUGAGUCUCCCCUACACGUAUUUCUUGUGCAAUAAAGAAUUAUUUCCAAACUUG
Molecule: long non-coding RNA, 433 nt
Organism: Ornithodoros turicata
Lineage: Eukaryota; Metazoa; Arthropoda; Arachnida; Ixodida; Argasidae
Exons: 8
Source: RefSeq, a predicted model, not a curated record